RNAcentral lists this ribosomal RNA (456 nucleotides) under uncultured Anaerolineaceae bacterium. Its description in RNAcentral is "bacterial SSU rRNA". It matches the Rfam family "Bacterial small subunit ribosomal RNA", at positions 916 to 1381 of the family's 1533-position model. The record is from RNAcentral. Lineage: Bacteria; Bacillati; Chloroflexota; Anaerolineae; Anaerolineales; Anaerolineaceae.
GACGGGACCCGCACAAGCAGCGGAGCGUGUGGUUUAAUUCGUUGCUACACGAAGAACCUUACCUGGGUUUGACAUAUAGGUUGUAGGGAACUGAAAAGGGACCGACCCUUCGGGGAGCCUAUACAGGUGUUGCAUGGCUGUCGUCAGCUCGUGUCGUGAGAUGUUCGGUUAAGUCCGCUAACGAGCGCAACCCUCGUCGUAUGUUAUAUGUGUCAUACGAGACUGCCGGUAAAAAGCCGUAGGAAGGUGAGGAUGAUGUCAAGUCAGCAUGACCUUUAUAUCCAGGGCUACACACACGCUACAAUGGUCUGUACAAUGGGUAGCCAAGCCGCGAAGCGGAGCCAAUCCUGAAAGCAGGCCUCAGUUCAGAUUGCAGUCUGCAACUCGACUGCAUGAAGCCAGAGUUGCUAGUAACCGCAGGUCAGCAAUACUGCGGUGAAUACGUUCCCGGGUCUU